This is a long non-coding RNA of Cebus imitator (Panamanian white-faced capuchin), 7085 nucleotides long. RefSeq lists it as uncharacterized. The record is from RefSeq and is a predicted model, not a curated record. The transcript has 4 exons. NCBI's taxonomy places the organism in Eukaryota, Metazoa, Chordata, Mammalia, Primates, Cebidae.
UUUUAAAAUUUUUUAUAGAGACAGAGUUUCAGUAUGUUGCCUGUCUCCUCUUUUUUAUUCCAUCUUUCCGUGAUUUCCAACACUUCGGAAAAUGCUGAAAUUGACAGUUUCCUUUGGGUCAUGGCCACCCUUGGGACUCCCCUGAACUGUGGUGCUGCACCAGCCCUGCCGUCCACACCCGAGCCCCUUCUCUUUCAGUCUCUUUUCCUUCCAAGUGAGCCUGUCCCAGAUUCCAUUCUCUGAAGGCCCAGAUUGGAUCCCUCCCAGAGAGAUACCCUUGUGUCUCUUAACACUGUAACAGGCAAGAGGAAAUCCUGCUAGGAUUCCAGGCAUAGCGAUGGAUUGGUUAUUUAGAAUUAUCCCAGGCCAAUGUUUGGAUCUGGGGAAAAUCACUCCAGGGGAAGACCUGUUACCUCAAUCUCUAUUUGAGGUCACCAGGGAGGAGUUGAUGUCUUCCGUCAGGCAGACACAUUUCUAGGAAGCAUCAAUAUCAGCCUCUCCUCCACCCUGGGGGCCAGCAGAGGGAACAUCAAUUCUGCAGCCGUAGGCAGGGGCAGCUUGGGUUGAGCGCCAGGUCUCUGUGGCCUGGAGCAAGUUGCAUCAAUUCUCAGGCUCAGAGCUGCCCCUGCAGAGUUGAGAGUGAGAGCUGGGCCCACUUCUCUCUCCAGGAUGUGUUUCUCCAAGUAUAAAACUAAGCACGAAGGGCCUCUCAGAGCAAGGGGACAUUUUUACAGGAGACAAGAGAUCUCAAACUGAUGGCCCCUGGCUGAAACUUGGAACUAGAUGUGAGGUUUUUUUCUUCCUUUCUGAUAUGGUGUUUUUAAAAAUAAUUUUGAAUUAUGUUUAUGAACCAGCAAAUUUCAUCUCCGAAUUCUAAUUUUUGUUUUGUCUCGAUCAGAAGCUCUGAGCUGGUGUGCACCUGCAGUCCGAGCUACUUGGAGGCGGAGGCGGGAGGAUCGCCUGAGGCCAGGGGUUCAAGGCUGUCGUGCACUUUGAUCAUACCUGUGAAUAGCCACUGCACUCCAGCCUGGGCAACGUAGUGUGGCCCUGCCUCUUAAAAAGAAGAUUAAAGAGAAUAGCAGAAGCUCUGGUCACACUGGUCCACAUUCCCACCUGGUUACAUGGCAGCUGGAGCUGAGGAGCAGCCGUCUUCUUGAGGAGGGCACCAGCUCUCCUGUUCCGGGAGCCCCGAGCACUUUUAUCCGGCCUGCUUGCUCUGACCAUCAGAUCCUCAGCUCUGGAGCUUCCAUGGUGAUGUCACCUCAGGCAGGACCUGGUGAUCUGGAGUCACUGUGCUGGCCAGUGGAGAAUCAAGGGGCAGGUGCAGCCCCGCAUGGAGUCCCUCGGAGGCUCUCCUCCGCUCCUCCAGGAUGAGCAUAGGGGCCUGGGUGCCUGAAUCCCUCCGAGCCUCAGUUUCUUCAUCUGUUAAACACGGCUGACCCAGAGACGGCCCCUUGGUGUAGAUCGCAUCAGAGGCCACUCAGGAAGUGGAAGGUGGUCCAUCAAUACCUGUUGCCUUCAGUGGGAAGAAUCAAUGAACAUGUGAGUGGCCGUGGCAGGCAGGAUGGCUCAGCCCCACUGGAGAGGAUUCCAGCGAUUCGUCUUUACCCAUCACCAUGGCAAUGCCGAGAGAAAGACACAGCUGUUUGUGCCAUUUUACAGAUGAGGAAACAGAGGCUGAGUUAAGUGACUGAUAGGGUUUUGCUGUGUCCCUGCCCAAAAGGGAGACCAGGUGGAGGUAAUGGAAUCACAGGGCCGGUUCCCCCAUGCUGUUCUCGUGAUAGUGAGGGAGUUCUCGCGAGAUCUGACGGUUUUGUAAGCGUUGGGUAGUUUCUCCUGCGUUCAUUCUCUUUCCUGUCGCCCUGUGAAGAAGGCACCUUGCUUCCCCUUCGCUUUCUGCCAUGAUUGUAAGUUUCCUGAGGCCUCCCCAGCCAUGCAGAACUGUGAGUCAAUUAAACUUCUUUCCUUCAUACAUUUUUCGUAGACGACCCAGUGUUGGGCGGUUGUUUAUAGUGGUGUGAAAAUGCAGGAACACAGUGACUUGCUUGAAAUCAUGGAGCCUUGGGGCUGGUAGCCUUGAGGUUUGAACCCAGCGCAUCUGACUGCAGCGCCUCAGUCGUCUGAACGCCACCAUGGCCUGCUGGGUGAGCCUUGGGUGCUGAGCGGACAGCCAGGUGGAGGUUCUGGCCUUUCAAUCCUCCCCUACACCUGCCUCCUUCCCUGGCUGCCUGCCAGCCUCCAGGGCCGCUGUUCUGCCCCUCCACUCUCUAGGCUCGUGCCUUGCUCCUGUCUCAGGAUUUCUGCACUGGCACCUGCCAUUUCCUUCACCUGGAACCCUCUUCCUGCCUGGCUCCUUCCUGUCAUUUCGUUCAGGUCGUGGUUGGAACUCUGCCUCCUCCUGAUAGGGUGAAAAUGGCGUCGCUGUUGACUCGCUAACACAGCGUGCUCUUUCCUUCGCCGUGGUGCAGAUCCCAGUCUGUAUGUGGUUUACUUUUGUUUGUUAACUCACGUAGGGCUGCUUUACUCCAGUCAGGAUGCAGGUUUCAUGAGGGCAAGGGCUGGGCCUGCCUGUUCACAGCUGUGUCCCCAAAUCCUAGCACAGCAGCCGAAACACAGGAGGUGCUCAGUCAAUCCUCGCUGACUUUAGCAAACGGAAUCAGCAAAUGCCGGGCUGAGGCAGGAGAAUCCUGACCGCGAAGCAGCUCCGCCAGUGUGAGGUGUUCACGUUGAUGGAACCUUCAGGUGCUGGAAGGCCCGAAAUCCUGUCUCUCUGCCUUCCCUGGGUGGGACAGACCUGGCCCUGACCCAGCCCCUCUGGAAGCCUUUCUGCUCUAUUUGUUUCUAUCACUGGUGACCAAAAGCUGAGCUGCCACCUUCCUUGGAGCCUCAGACUCCUUACAGGAAGUCAGGGUGGAGCUGAAUUGUUCCUGAGAGAAUGUUCUUCCAUCGGGCUGGGUCUGAGUCACUGGAGGCUGGGUCUGAUCGGGAAGGAGGGUGCAGCCACUGGGGGCUGAGGACACCCACCCUGUCCAGAACUUGUCCCCACCCAGUAUCCUGCCAGCAAGAGGUUUGCAGAAACCCAAACUCAAUUCUAGGUCAGCAGGCCAUGUGGGCCCACUGACAGCAUGUAACACAUAUUUAUGGAGGGCCUACUAUGUGCCAGGUCCUGUUCUAGGUGCAGAGUCACAUGUCGGAAGUCCUUGUGGAGCUUUAGAUCUGCUGGAAGGAGGCAGGCAAGGAAGCCAGUAAACAUAUGGGUGAGUAAUAUGUCAGAUGGUGUCAGGGCCAACCAGGAAAAUCCACAGGUGAGAGGACGGAACAGGUGUAAGAGCUAUUUUAAUCAAUGGUCACAGACGGCCUUUCUGAGACAGACCCUUGACUGGACCUAAGGAGGAGAGAUCCAUGGAGCUGCCUGGUUCCAGGUAGAAGGCACGGCAGGUGCAAAGACCUCAGGGUGGGAUCUUGCCUGGUGGGCUGGUGGAGGAGUGAGGGGGGCAGGGAUAUUGGAGGGGCAAAUCACUUCCCCUUCUCCUUGGCCUCAGUGCUGCUGUCUGUACAUGGGGAUCAUAAUCCACACCUCACGGGGAGUGAGGGAGUUUCCAAUAAUAAGACGGUUAGUCUGGCGCUUUGUAAAUUUCAAAGGUUUUGCUUAUCAAGUAGAAAGGAUUAUGAUAAUGAGCAAAAAACGGCUCUACCCGUCACAGGUGGGAUGCUUUUGUCUUCAAGCAGCAGAGGAUUCCACAAUAAGUAUCCUAUUGUCCUACAUCUUAGGACGGUAUCUUAUGUCUCCAUGAGUCAAGAAAUCCAGUGGAAUUCCAGGUACUUCUGGUUUGGCUGGUGCAGAGAAGGACCCAGAUUCUUUGAAACUUCCCGCUGUGCUCUCCACGUGACUUGACCCUCAGGCUUGCACUCCUAAGCUCGUAGGAUUGCUCCACAGCUCCAGGUGUCCCACCCUCAUGUAAGAGGUGAAAGCCAAAGAAAGAACAUGUCUCCUCCUGCUGCUGCUUUAUGAGAGCCUGAAACCCUUUCCCAGAAGCUUCCAGCAGAUUUGAUCGCCUGUUACUUUGACCAAAAUUGCAUCCCAAGUGCAUUGGUAGGCCUGGUGCUGGUAGAGGAAGUGGAAUUAUUAUGGCUUGGCCAAUGGGUUUUCGCCAGAGAGGCACAAGCCCUGGGGAUGUUUGGAAAUGGGUGGUGGUGGUGGAGGGGUGGCUUGGCUCAAUGACUGGUGACAUUACUGGCAUUCAGCUGGGUGGGGCUGGGAAUGCUGGAUGCUUCCAAGGUGCUGGACAGUCCACAUAAGACAGACUGUCCUGUUUCCCACACAAAUUUCAGUCCCCUCUGGUCGCUCUUGUGUGAAAAGCUAUUUAAUCAUCUUAGCCUAGAGCCUACAUCAACUUAAUAUCAAAACAAGAUAUGUUUGUAAGAUUUUAGUGUACACUGAAUAUAAUAUUUAUAUUCAAGUGUCUUCUUUAUUUUUCUGCCCUUCUGCUGUAGCGUGACUCCUGAUCUUCUAUCCAAACUUCUUCUGCAGAUGCUGGCUAGGAUCUAAGUGUUUGUUAUGUCUCUGUGUGUGCCUGUGUCUGUGUCUGUUCAUUUGCAUAUUGAAAUAUGAUUUAAUUUAUUACAAAUUAUUUUAUUAAAAAUUAUUGUCCUUUUAUUUCUUUUUAUUGUCCCCUUAGGGCAUUGUAAUGAGUUUUUAAGUAGGUGUAUGAUGUUAUAGGUUAAUUAUUUAUGACUUUCAUUUCAGGGCAGUAAAGAGAUCAUUAAGCACAGUUCUUCUUUGGAAGAGGUCAUGGGUCUGACAAAGUUGAGAAUUCCUGGCUUGGAUCCAACAAGAGUCAUGUCCGGGGGCUUGGGGAGAGCCUGUGUCCUGAAACUCAUGGCUCCCAGGCGACUGGACCACAUGGAGGUUGAGUCAGGAUGGAAGAAGCCCCUGGGAUGCUUUGCCCCACCCUGGGAGGAUGGGCUCCUGGAGCUGAGGACCACCGAGUCUUGCAGGAUCCUGGGCAGCUCAAGGCCCCCAUCGACCAGCGGACUGAUCAAUACUUUGUCAGUGAAGCUUCCUGGCAGCCCAGAACUGGGCUUUUAGGACUAGGGCUGUGAUUGGCAGGGACGCUGGGGACCUGGCUUCCUGGAUGUCCUGGCUGGUGGGUGGACACAGGCCUCCUCAAGUGGCUCUGAGAAGAGCCUCAUCAAUUCAUUCACAGCAGGUGGGUGCCAAAUUCUGCAGGUAAAUGAGGGCAGGACGACAGGGCACAUGCCCAGGGCAGGUGUUUACACAGUGAGCGUCCACCGAACAUUGCUGGCUGUCUGUCCUGACAUCUCGAGUGUUGGAUGUGUUGAACAUGCCUGGCCCUUGCACACGCCUGCGGGCUGCAUUUGAGUCUGGGACAUCCAGACGUGACCCCUGUGGUGGCCCCUCCAGAAAUACCUGUGGAUUUGGUGGUGGAAGCCGAGCCUGAGAGGCCAGUUCUGAUGCAUCAUGGGCCCUCACAGCUGCUGCAGGGGUGGAUUUCCCAGGGCCGCCAGGGAUUUCCCUUCCCCUGUCUCCUCCUCUGUCUCACUCUGCCCUCCUCCUCCCUCCUUCCCUGAUCAGGCACAGCUGACACAUGAGCCCCUGGAGGUCUGGGGAUUAUGGAGUCUGGGCAGACACAUGCCAGGGGCUGAGGAAUCACUCAGCAGCUGUUGGGGCCCAGGCUGCCAGGGGGUUUGCUCCAGCCCCAGGGAAGGAUGCAGCCUCCUGACCUCCUACCUGGCAGAGGCCACACAGAGACAGUAUGUGCACCCCUGGAUGCAGGGGAUGCAGGGAAGGAACGGACCCUGUCCCCACCCCAAGGGACAUCCAGGCCUGCAGCUGGAUGAGCAUUAGUCAGACUGUGGACUGAAUCUGGUCCUUACACUCAGCAUGGAUGAGGAAACUGAGACACAGCAUGCUCCAUGGAGGCACAGUGUGUUCAGUAAACUUGACCAAGGUCACACGGCUGGGAGGAAGUAGAUGCAAAGGGAUAAGCAUUCGGGAUCCAGAAUCUACGCUUCAACCAGCUUGCCCUAAUGCUUCCAAGACUGUAUGAAGUUUUAGAAAAUAACAAAAGUUGCAUUUCCCCCCACAUGAGUGGUGGACUGAGAUGGGCCUCAUCCUCUCUAAAGAGGACCUGUCUGCACCGGACAGUCUCUUGACAUCUCUGAGGAUGAACACAUUGGAAUGCGGCCAUCAGGUGGCCACACCUAACAGCAGGACAGUGAAUGCAGGUGGGUGGCACGUGCAGACUGACACACAUGUGAUGGUGUGGUGCGGUGACCUCACACCACAAGAGCACGCCCGUGGAUGUCGGGUGGACAGUCUUCCCUCCAUGUCAACAGUUAGUGCUGUCCUUAAAAAUUCAAUGCGUCUUAAAAUCACGGGAAGAGGAUACAAGGAAAAGCCAUCGUGGUGACUGCAUGGUGUAGGGUUCAAGAGGGUGGGCUCCUGAGUGCAGCUGUCUGAGAUCAAAUCCCACGUUGCCACUUUAUUGCUGUGUGACUUUGGGUAAGUUACUAACUUCUCUAUUAUUCACUUACCUCAUUGGUAACCUGGGUGAUCAAACUCACACCGACUUCCUGGGACUGUGGGGGCUGAAUGAGCUGAGGCACCUCGCACGCCCAGGCCCCAGCUGCCCGCAGUGAUAGGCAGCACCUGCAUGUGUGUUGGCACUAUUGUUCCUCAGCACUCCCUACCUCACCCAAGCCCCCACAGACUUUGAAUGCCAUUUCAGGUCUUCCUCUUCCAGGAGGCCCUCACUGACCAUCACAGGCUAUGAGUACCUCAUGUAACCUCUGAUCAGCACCCAGACCUCCCCAAGUCAGCAUGUCGGGUGUGUGUCUCCACAUCCAGUAACAAUCACAGUGGGGAUGAUGGUGAUCAUGGCCACAGCGAAUGGCUAUUGAGUCCCAAAAACAGGCCACGAGUUGCAUUUCACUCUCCCAGCCACGUUUGUUUUUUGAGACAGAUUCUUGCUCUGUCACUAGGGCUGGAGUGCAGUGGCACAAUCUUGGCUCUCUGCAACCUCCACCUCCUGAGUUCAAGGGAUUCUUCUGCUUAAGCCUUA